GAACGCAUACUUUAGAGUAUGAGUGGCAGACGGGUGAGUAACGCGUGAGACAUCUACCUUACAGCCCGGUAUAAAUAUCUAUAUAGAGGCGAAAAUCUUUAUAUAUGAGUGAAUCCCGGAUAUUUUGAAUAAAAAAAAAGGCAAAGAACCGUUGUAAGAUGAGCUCGCGUAGGAUUAGGUAGUUGGUAAGGUAAAAGCUUAUCCAAGCCGAUGAUCCUUAGCUGUUCUGAGAGGAUGAUCAACCACACUGGGACUGAGACACGGCCCAGACGCUUUCGAGCGGCAGCAGUGAGGAAUUUUGGACAAUGGGCGAAAGCCUGAUCCAGCUAUAUCGCAUGAAUGAAGAAGGCUCAAUUGGUUGUAAAAUUCAUAGUUUCAUUGUAGAUUAUGACAUUGAUGAAAUGAAUAGUCCCGGCCAACUCCGUGC
RNAcentral lists this ribosomal RNA (427 nucleotides) under uncultured Trebouxia photobiont. RNAcentral's name for it is "bacterial SSU rRNA". It matches the Rfam family "Bacterial small subunit ribosomal RNA", at positions 64 to 508 of the family's 1533-position model. Lineage: Eukaryota; Viridiplantae; Chlorophyta; Trebouxiophyceae; Trebouxiales; Trebouxiaceae. The record is from RNAcentral.